Molecule: ribosomal RNA, 470 nt
Filed under: uncultured bacterium
Lineage: Bacteria
Description: bacterial SSU rRNA
Rfam family: Bacterial small subunit ribosomal RNA
Source: RNAcentral
GAACGCUGGCGGCACGCUUAACACAUGCAAGUCGAACGGAGUUAAUUGAGCUUGCUUAAUUAACUAGUGGCGGACGGGUGAGUAACACGUGAGCAAUCUGCCUUCAGAGGGGGAUAGCAGUUGGAAACGACUGAUAAUACCGCAUAACAUAGCGAGACCGCAUGAUCUUGCUAUCAAAGAUUUAUCGCUGAAAGAUGAGCUCGCGUCUGAUUAGAUAGUUGGUGAGGUAACGGCCCACCAAGUCGACGAUCAGUAGCCGGACUGAGAGGUUGAACGGCCACAUUGGGACUGAGACACGGCCCAGACUCCUACGGGAGGCAGCAGUGGGGAAUAUUGCACAAUGGAGGAAACUCUGAUGCAGCGAUGCCGCGUGAGGGAAGAAGGUUUUCGGAUUGUAAACCUCUGUCUUAUGGGACGAUAAUGACGGUACCAUAGGAGGAAGCUCCGGCUAACUACGUGCCAGCAGCCGC